UACUAGAGUAGCACUCGCAUAUCAAUAAGCGGAGGAAAAGAAACUAACAAGGAUUCCCCUAGUAACGGCGAGUGAAGCGGGAAGAGCUCAAAUUUGAAAUCUUAAAGGGUUUCCCUUUACGAAUUGUAGUUUAAAGAAGUGUUUUCUGUUGAGGUUUUGGUAAAAGUUCUUUGGAAUAGGACAUCAUAGAGGGUGAGAAUCCCGUAUUUGACCCUUACUUUCAACUUUGUGAUACACUUUCAAAGAGUCGGAUUGUUUGGGAAUGCAGUCCAAAAUGGGUGGUAAAUUUCAUCUAAAGCUAAAUAUUGGCGAGAGACCGAUAGCGAACAAGUACCGUGAGGGAAAGAUGAAAAGAACUUUGAAGAGAGAGUUAAACAGUACGUGAAAUUGUCAAAAGGGAAGCGUUUGACACCAGUGUUGUUUUUCUGAAAAUCAAUUAAAGAACUGUUUAUGCUAAGUUGUUCAGACUUUAUCAGCUAACUGUUUAGUUUUGAGCUUUUCUUUAAUGCACUUUUCAGUUAACAAGUCAACAUCAAUUUCUUUUGCUGUAAAAAAGCUUGAGGAAGGUGGCUUGAGAUUCGUCUUAAGUGUUUAUAGCCUCUUGCCUAUGCAGUCGGAGAGAUUGAGGUCUGCAGCGUAGAUCCUUCGGGGCUAAAUGCAUUUGUGCUAAGUUAUAGCAUUUUAUAGACAACUUGUUGACUAUGAUUUGUCUUGUAGCUUACUCGCUUAUGUUAUUUUACCUACGCUUAGGAUGUUGAUCUACAGAGCGAGAGU
Molecule: ribosomal RNA, 774 nt
Filed under: uncultured Neocallimastigales
Lineage: Eukaryota; Fungi; Neocallimastigomycota; Neocallimastigomycetes; Neocallimastigales
Description: partial large subunit ribosomal RNA
Rfam family: Eukaryotic large subunit ribosomal RNA
Source: RNAcentral